UCGCUUCAGCAGCACAUAUACUAAAAUUGGAAUGAUACGGAGAAGAUUAGCAGGGCCCCCACGCAAGGAUGACACGCAAAUUCAUGACAUGUUCCAUAUUUUU
Molecule: small nuclear RNA, 103 nt
Filed under: Myotis davidii
Lineage: Eukaryota; Metazoa; Chordata; Mammalia; Chiroptera; Vespertilionidae
Source: RNAcentral